GUGAGGAAUAUUGGUCAAUGGGCGGAAGCCUGAACCAGCCAUGCCGCGUGAAGGAUGAAGGUUCUAUGGAUUGUAAACUUCUUUUAUUUGGGAAUAAACCCUCCGACGUGUUGGAGGCUGAAGGUACCAAAUGAAUAAGCACCGGCUAACUCCGUGCCAGCAGCCGCGGUAAUACGGAGGGUGCAAGCGUUAUCCGGAAUCAUUGGGUUUAAAGGGUCCGCAGGCGGAUUUAUAAGUCAGUGGUGAAAGCCUACAGCUCAACUGUAGAACUGCCAUUGAUACUGUAAGUCUUGAAUUCGGUCGAAGUGGGCGGAAUAUGACAUGUAGCGGUGAAAUGCAUAGAUAUGUCAUAGAACACCGAUAGCGAAGGCAGCUCACUAGGCCUGAAUUGACGCUCAUGGACGAAAGCGUGGGGAGCAAACAGGAUUAGAAACCCGAGUAGCC
Molecule: ribosomal RNA, 444 nt
Filed under: uncultured bacterium
Lineage: Bacteria
Description: partial 16S ribosomal RNA
Rfam family: Bacterial small subunit ribosomal RNA
Source: RNAcentral